UUGGGGUUUGAUUCCCCCUGUCUUCGGUCUGGUUGACAGGACCGUGUAAAACAAUUAAUACUCAAAGACGAUUAGAUACCGUCGUAGUCUUAACCAUAAACGAUGCCGACUAGGGAUCGGUGGGCUUCAUUUUGAACCCAUCGGCACCUUAUGAGAAAUCAAAGUGUUUGGGUUCCGGGGGGAGUAUGGUCGCAAGGCUGAAACUUAAAGGAAUUGACGGAAGGGCACCACCAGGAGUGGAGCCUGCGGCUUAAUUUGACUCAACACGGGGAAACUCACCAGGUCCAGACAUAGUAAGGAUUGACAGAUUGAGAGCUCUUUCUUGAUUCUAUGGGUGGUGGUGCAUGGCCGUUCUUAGUUGGUGGAGUGAUUUGUCUGGUUAAUUCCGAUAACGAACGAGACCUUAACCUGCUAAAUAGUUUCAUGAACUUUGGUUCAUUGUAACUUCUUAGAGGGACUAUCUGUGUUUAACAGAUGGAAGUUUGAGGCAAUAACAGGUCUGUGAUGCCCUUAGAUGUUCUGGGCUGCACGAGCACUACACUGAUGAAACCAGCGGGUUUAUAACCUUGCCGAAAGGUCUGGGUAAUCUUGUGAAAUUUCAUCGUGCUGGGGAUAGACCAUUGUAAUUAUUGGUCUUCAACGAGGAAUUCCUAGUAAGCGCGAGUCAUCAGCUCGCGUUGAUUACGUCCCUGCCCUUUGUACACACCGCCCGUCGCUACUACCGAUUGAAUGGCUUAGUGAGGCCUUCGAAUUGGUGUUCACCGGCCGCAAGGUUGGAUGACGCUGAGAAGUUGGUCAAACUUGGUCAUUUAGAGGAAGUAAAAGUCGUAACAAGGUUUCCGGAGGUGAACCUGCCGGAGGGA
RNAcentral lists this non-coding RNA (863 nucleotides) under Rozella allomycis CSF55. RNAcentral describes it as "Eukaryotic small subunit ribosomal RNA". It matches the Rfam family "Eukaryotic small subunit ribosomal RNA", at positions 636 to 1825 of the family's 1831-position model. Lineage: Eukaryota; Fungi; Rozellomycota. The record is from Rfam by way of RNAcentral.